UUUAUGGAGAGUUUGAUCCUGGCUCAGGAUGAACGCUGGUGGCGUGCCUAAUACAUGCAAGUCGAGCGAACGGACGAGAAGCUUGCUUCUCUGAUGUUAGCGGCGGACGGGUGAGUAACACGUGGAUAACCUACCUAUAAGACUGGGAUAACUUCGGGAAACCGGAGCUAAUACCGGAUAAUAUUUUGAACCGCAUGGUUCAAAAGUGAAAGACGGUCUUGCUGUCACUUAUAGAUGGAUCCGCGCUGCAUUAGCUAGUUGGUAAGGUAACGGCUUACCAAGGCAACGAUGCAUAGCCGACCUGAGAGGGUGAUCGGCCACACUGGAACUGAGACACGGUCCAGACUCCUACGGGAGGCAGCAGUAGGGAAUCUUCCGCAAUGGGCGAAAGCCUGACGGAGCAACGCCGCGUGAGUGAUGAAGGUCUUCGGAUCGUAAAACUCUGUUAUUAGGGAAGAACAUAUGUGUAAGUAACUGUGCACAUCUUGACGGUACCUAAUCAGAAAGCCACGGCUAACUACGUGCCAGCAGCCGCGGUAAUACGUAGGUGGCAAGCGUUAUCCGGAAUUAUUGGGCGUAAAGCGCGCGUAGGCGGUUUUUUAAGUCUGAUGUGAAAGCCCACGGCUCAACCGUGGAGGGUCAUUGGAAACUGGAAAACUUGAGUGCAGAAGAGGAAAGUGGAAUUCCAUGUGUAGCGGUGAAAUGCACAGAGAUAUGGAGGAACACCAGUGGCGAAGGCGACUUUCUGGUCUGUAACUGACGCUGAUGUGCGAAAGCGUGGGGAUCAAACAGGAUUAGAUACCCUGGUAGUCCACGCCGUAAACGAUGAGUGCUAAGUGUUAGGGGGUUUCCGCCCCUUAGUGCUGCAGCUAACGCAUUAAGCACUCCGCCUGGGGAGUACGACCGCAAGGUUGAAACUCAAAGGAAUUGACGGGGACCCGCACAAGCGGUGGAGCAUGUGGUUUAAUUCGAAGCAACGCGAAGAACCUUACCAAAUCUUGACAUCCUUUGACAACUCUAGAGAUAGAGCCUUCCCCUUCGGGGGACAAAGUGACAGGUGGUGCAUGGUUGUCGUCAGCUCGUGUCGUGAGAUGUUGGGUUAAGUCCCGCAACGAGCGCAACCCUUAAGCUUAGUUGCCAUCAUUAAGUUGGGCACUCUAAGUUGACUGCCGGUGACAAACCGGAGGAAGGUGGGGAUGACGUCAAAUCAUCAUGCCCCUUAUGAUUUGGGCUACACACGUGCUACAAUGGACAAUACAAAGGGCAGCGAAACCGCGAGGUCAAGCAAAUCCCAUAAAGUUGUUCUCAGUUCGGAUUGUAGUCUGCAACUCGACUACAUGAAGCUGGAAUCGCUAGUAAUCGUAGAUCAGCAUGCUACGGUGAAUACGUUCCCGGGUCUUGUACACACCGCCCGUCACACCACGAGAGUUUGUAACACCCGAAGCCGGUGGAGUAACCUUUUAGGAGCUAGCCGUCGAAGGUGGGACAAAUGAUUGGGGUGAAGUCGUAACAAGGUAGCCGUAUCGGAAGGUGCGGCUGGAUCACCUCCUUU
This 1552-nucleotide ribosomal RNA is filed under the name Staphylococcus aureus RF122. RNAcentral describes it as "16S ribosomal RNA". It matches the Rfam family "Bacterial small subunit ribosomal RNA". The record is from RNAcentral. Lineage: Bacteria; Bacillati; Bacillota; Bacilli; Caryophanales; Staphylococcaceae.